Molecule: ribosomal RNA, 301 nt
Filed under: uncultured bacterium
Lineage: Bacteria
Description: partial 16S ribosomal RNA
Rfam family: Bacterial small subunit ribosomal RNA
Source: RNAcentral
CAGCCGCCGCGGUAAUACAGAGGGUGCGAGCGUUAAUCGGAUUUACUGGGCGUAAAGCGUGCGUAGGCGGCUUUUUAAGUCGGAUGUGAAAUCCCUGAGCUUAACUUAGGAAUUGCAUUCGAUACUGGGAAGCUAGAGUAUGGGAGAGGAUGGUAGAAUUCCAGGUGUAGCGGUGAAAUGCGUAGAGAUCUGGAGGAAUACCGAUGGCGAAGGCAGCCAUCUGGCCUAAUACUGACGCUGAGGUACGAAAGCAUGGGGAGCAAACAGGAUUAGAGACCCGUGUAGUCCCUGUCUCUUAUAC